This 253-nucleotide ribosomal RNA is filed under the name uncultured bacterium. RNAcentral describes it as "partial 16S ribosomal RNA". It matches the Rfam family "Bacterial small subunit ribosomal RNA", at positions 524 to 776 of the family's 1533-position model. The record is from RNAcentral.
UACGUAGGGUGCGAGCGUUGUCCGGAAUUACUGGGCGUAAAGAGCUCGUAGGUGGUUUGUCGCGUUGUUCGUGAAAGCCCAGGGCUUAACCCUGGAAGUGCCCCGGAAACGGUGAGACUGGAGUCCUGGAGAGGGUCGUGGAAUUCCCGGUGUAGCGGUGAAAUGCGUAGAGAUCGGGAGGAACACCAGAGGCGAAGGCGGCGACCUGGACAGGUACUGACACUCAACUACGAAAGCGUGGGGAGCAAACAGG